This 445-nucleotide ribosomal RNA is filed under the name uncultured bacterium. RNAcentral describes it as "partial 16S ribosomal RNA". It matches the Rfam family "Bacterial small subunit ribosomal RNA", at positions 354 to 796 of the family's 1533-position model. The record is from RNAcentral.
GUGAGGAAUAUUGGUCAAUGGGCGGGAGCCUGAACCAGCCAAGUCGCGUGAAGGAAGAAGGAUCUAUGGUUCGUACACUUCUUUUGCAGGGGAAUAAAGUGCAGGAUGUGUCCUGUUUUGUAUGUACCCUGAGAAUAAGGAUCGGCUAACUCCGUGCCAGCAGCCGCGGUAAUACGGAGGAUCCGAGCGUUAUCCGGAUUUAUUGGGUUUAAAGGGUGCGUAGGUGGUUUGAUAAGUCAGCGGUGAAAGUUUGCAGCUUAACUGUAAAAAUGCCGUUGAAACUGUCGGACUUGAGUGUAAAUGAGGUAGGCGGAAUGCGUGGUGUAGCGGUGAAAUGCAUAGAUAUCACGCAGAACUCCGAUUGCGAAGGCAGCUUACUAAGCUACAACUGACACUGAAGCACGAAAGCGUGGGGAUCAAACAGGAUUAGAAACCCGAGUAGUCC